GAAAUGCGAUAAGUAAUGUGAAUUGCAGAAUUCAGUGAAUCAUCGAAUCUUUGAACGCACAUUGCACCUCACGGUAUUCCGUGAGGUAUACAUGUUCGAGCGUCGUUUGAACUCUUAAGACUCUGUCUUGUGUUGGCAUUCCUGGGGUAAAAGCCAGGGUGCUGAAAAUGAUUGGCGCACGAAACGUUGAGGCACCCAAUAAAAUGGGCUGAACUCAAACGGUGCGGGCCGCCACAAAACCUUAUUUAAACGUUCGACCUCGAAUCAUGUAGGAUUACCCGCUGAACUUAA
RNAcentral lists this unclassified non-coding RNA (291 nucleotides) under uncultured Ascomycota. Its description in RNAcentral is "sequence contains ITS1". The stretch from base 1 to 105 matches the Rfam family "5.8S ribosomal RNA", at positions 50 to 154 of the family's 154-position model. The record is from RNAcentral. Lineage: Eukaryota; Fungi; Ascomycota.